Molecule: ribosomal RNA, 496 nt
Filed under: uncultured bacterium
Lineage: Bacteria
Description: partial 16S ribosomal RNA
Rfam family: Bacterial small subunit ribosomal RNA
Source: RNAcentral
GAUGAACGCUGGCGGCGUGCCUAAUACAUGCAAGUCGAGCGAACAGACGAGGAGCUUGCUCCUCUGACGUUAGCGGCGGACGGGUGAGUAACACGUGGAUAACCUACCUAUAAGACUGGGAUAACUUCGGGAAACCGGAGCUAAUACCGGAUAAUAUAUUGAACCGCAUGGUUCAAUAGUGAAAGACGGUUUUGCUGUCACUUAUAGAUGGAUCCGCGCCGCAUUAGCUAGUUGGUAAGGUAACGGCUUACCAAGGCGACGAUGCGUAGCCGACCUGAGAGGGUGAUCGGCCACACUGGAACUGAGACACGGUCCAGACUCCUACGGGAGGCAGCAGUAGGGAAUCUUCCGCAAUGGGCGAAAGCCUGACGGAGCAACGCCGCGUGAGUGAUGAAGGUCUUCGGAUCGUAAAACUCUGUUAUUAGGGAAGAACAAAUGUGUAAGUAACUAUGCACGUCUUGACGGUACCGAAUCAGAAAGCCACGGCUAACUACGU